AGGGGUUACCUGGAUAUAUGAUGCUGCAGUACACAUAUAUUUAUCUAACUAAAAUUAAGCCCACCACUUCCCGCUCUCAUAUUACUUCAGAAUCAUCAGUAUGAGAAAACAUUGAUACCCAUUACUUUAUACUGAUAAACUCCAUGCUCCGAGACAAGGUUGCACACGUCAUCGCCGACAAUUCCCUUCUCUUCUCGAAUCAACAUAUAACCAUGUUUUUAUCUUACAAGAGAAGGGAAUCCUCGCAAUCUGCUAGAUACAACAAGGUACUUUUGUAUGACGUGCCUGAGCCAUCAAUUUGCCGGUCCUUUUCUUCCUGAAACCAACAGAGACAACACCGACUGAUUUUCCAGCACGCAAUAGCUUCCCCUCAACUUCUAUUUCUUCCUGUAAAAAUAAAAGAAAUAGUUUACGGCAUGUCAAAUAACUAUUAAAAUAACAUAAGAGUGAAAAGACAAAGGUAUGUACAAAAUUAAUCAAGCCUUAUGAUGCUAUUCUAGCAAGAAACUGGCCAAAUCUGCCCUUUGGGGGGUAGGGGUGGGGGCAAAAAUUAUGAGAAAAGAUAACGCCCAUAUGUGUGGGUGUUUGCAAACCGUCCACACGCAUGAAUCUGCGUCUGUUUGUGCUUUGCAUUAAUCUUGGUAUUUUUUGAUAGUUUUUCUGUACCACGUAGGACUGAACUGGUGUGUCGGUAUUUAACCACUUCGCCCACACGGCCGUUUCUUUCUCAGCAGGAAUCUUUUUUGGUUUUCGGUUUAAAAAUGUUUUAUCAUGACAACUUCAGUGUAACAUCAUGACAACUGUUGAAGCACCCAUUUUUUUAAAUGUAACAUCAUGGCAACUGUUGUAACAUCAUGAAAUUUUUUUAAAUGUAGAAGAAAAAAUAGGUGAAACAUAUCAUGGCAACUUCAGUGUAAACACCAUGGCAUGGCAACUACAGUGUAACAUCAUGGCAACUGUUGUCCAAAAAAAUAAUUUAUCGAAAUAUAUUGAUAUGAGAUCUAGUUUCGAAGAUCUCGUCGCGAUGGAUUUAAUGAUAAAAACGGAUCUUCAAUCGGAUUUUUCAUUUACAAGAUAAAACAUUUUAAAAACUCAAAAUCCAAAAAGAUACCCACAUGCAUACAUGUGGUUUGGGCGUUAGCUAUUUUGCCCACACUCAGGCGUGUGAGCUAUUUCUCUUACACACCACACAAGAUGUAUGGGCAACACCCCUUAACACCCAGACGUGUGGGUGUUAUCAGGACCCAAAAUUAUAACCAAGCAACCUGAAAAGUACGUUUGGAUUUUUCAGAGCAAUAUUUGGACAACAUGACAAUAACUAUGAUCCUGAACUAAUUCUAGGAACCUCUUCAGAGCAAUAUCUGAACAAGAUGACAAUAAUUCAGAUCCUAAACUUAUUCUAGGAAACAUUUUGUACCCAGCUCCAGUCUGUAUUGAGCGAGUCAAAGGAAACAAAAAAUGAAUAACACCGUGUAAAUGCAGGCGCACUGAAUUCAACCAUCUUUUCUAAUUAGUACACACUUAUAUUCCUAUAAUAUUAAAAUGACUGGACGGUAAGAAGUGGUGGACCUUUUAUCUUGCCAAUUGAGAAAUAUUCAGUCGAGUAACAGACAAAAAAGAUCUCCACAUUUGAUCUGAACCAAUGAGAAAAGAGGGUCGUGUAUUUAACAUAGGUUCUGAAGUACGAGAAGAAUGCUCACCAAUUUGUUUCAGAUUCGAACUGAAUGCAUAAUAUCUUAGAUCGCGCAACCUAAGGUAAUGCAAAGAAAUAAAAUCAUACUAUUUAGGCAAUCCAAAUAGGCAUUGUAUGUACAGAAAAAUCAAAGGCGAAAUAGCAAAACAUCCAUGAAACUAAGCCAGUCACAUGAUGAUCAUAUUAAUGUCCACCUACAGCGGCCAAGUUUAGAAACCCCAAACGAGUGAGCAGAUGAAGCCAAGAAAAAGAAACACACUGAAGGGGAUCGGGAGACAGGGCCACCUACAUCGACCAAGUUUAGAAACCCCAAACAUGUGAGCAGAUCAAGCCAAGAAAAAAAAACACGAAAGGAGAUCGGGAGACACGACGGAGAC
Molecule: long non-coding RNA, 2070 nt
Filed under: Hordeum vulgare
Lineage: Eukaryota; Viridiplantae; Streptophyta; Magnoliopsida; Poales; Poaceae
Description: long non-coding RNA (HVUL_LNC010104)
Source: RNAcentral